AUUGAACGCUGGCGGCAGGCCUAACACAUGCAAGUCGAGCGGUAGAGAGAAGCUUGCUUCUCUUGAGAGCGGCGGACGGGUGAGUAAUGCCUAGGAAUCUGCCUGGUAGUGGGGGAUAACGUUCGGAAACGGACGCUAAUACCGCAUACGUCCUACGGGAGAAAGCAGGGGACCUUCGGGCCUUGCGCUAUCAGAUGAGCCUAGGUCGGAUUAGCUAGUUGGUGGGGUAAUGGCCCACCAAGGCGACGAUCCGUAUCUGGUCUGAGAGGAUGAUCAGUCACACUGGAACUGAGACACGGUCCAGACUCCUACGGGAGGCAGCAGUGGGGAAUAUUGGACAAUGGGCGAAAGCCUGAUCCAGCCAUGCCGCGUGUGUGAAGAAGGUCUUCGGAUUGUAAAGCACUUUAAGUUGGGAGGAAGGGCAGUAAAUUAAUACUUUGCUGUUUUGACGUUACCGACAGAAUAAGCACCGGCUAACUCUGUG
This 484-nucleotide ribosomal RNA is filed under the name uncultured bacterium. RNAcentral's name for it is "partial 16S ribosomal RNA". It matches the Rfam family "Bacterial small subunit ribosomal RNA", at positions 30 to 507 of the family's 1533-position model. The record is from RNAcentral.